GAUGAACGCUGGCGGCGUGCCUAAUACAUGCAAGUCGAGCGAACGGACGAGAAGCUUGCUUCUCUGAUGUUAGCGGCGGACGGGCGAGUAACACGUGGAUAACCUACCUAUAAGACUGGGAUAACUUCGGGAAACCGGAGCUAAUACCGGAUAAUAUUUUGAACCGCAUGGUUCAAAAGUGAAAGACGGUCUUGCUGUCACUUAUAGAUGGAUCCGCGCUGCAUUAGCUAGUUGGUAAGGUAACGGCUUACCAAGGCAACGAUGCAUAGCCGACCUGAGAGGGUGAUCGGCCACACUGGAACUGAGACACGGUCCAGACUCCUACGGGAGGCAGCAGUAGGGAAUCUUCCGCAAUGGGCGAAAGCCUGACGGAGCAACGCCGCGUGAGUGAUGAAGGUCUUCGGAUCGUAAAACUCUGUUAUUAGGGAAGAACAUAUGUGUAAGUAACUGUGCACAUCUUGGCGGUACCUAAUCAGAAAGCCACGGCUAACUACGUG
Molecule: ribosomal RNA, 497 nt
Filed under: uncultured bacterium
Lineage: Bacteria
Description: partial 16S ribosomal RNA
Rfam family: Bacterial small subunit ribosomal RNA
Source: RNAcentral